Thalassophryne amazonica is the source of this 390-nucleotide long non-coding RNA. RefSeq lists it as uncharacterized. The transcript is spliced from 2 exons. The record is from RefSeq and is a predicted model, not a curated record. NCBI's taxonomy places the organism in Eukaryota, Metazoa, Chordata, Actinopteri, Batrachoidiformes, Batrachoididae.
GGUAUGCUCUGGAGAGAAGGGGAAUGAGAGUCAGGAGGAUUAGAGGUGAAAACCCCAACAAUUCAAUCAAUUUGCACCUUUUAUUCAAGUAUAUCACAGCAGUUUGUGAAAAGUACAGUAAAUGUUUCAUUUAAAAUAUAACUUACACUAAAGUAACGUGUGUUAAAUACAUUUAUUCACCUCCAAAAAAAAGGUAAACUUAUAGUUUGAACUAAACAAAGGGAGGGAAAAAAAAAACCCCUUUCCUUCCACAUACUGGACUAAGUAGUUUUAACUACCAGACAAAAAUUGGUUUAGUCCAAACAGGCUACAAUUUAGAAUAAGAGAGGAAGCUUAAUGUAUGACAUCUUACUAAACCUGUUUAUUCCCAAUUGUUUCCUAAAUUUGUAA